RNAcentral lists this transfer RNA (73 nucleotides) under Candidatus Pacearchaeota archaeon. RNAcentral's name for it is "tRNA-Glu". It matches the Rfam family "tRNA". From Rfam's summary of the family: Transfer RNA (tRNA) molecules are approximately 80 nucleotides in length. Their secondary structure includes four short double-helical elements and three loops (D, anti-codon, and T loops). Further hydrogen bonds mediate the characteristic L-shaped molecular structure. tRNAs have two regions of fundamental functional importance: the anti-codon, which is responsible for specific mRNA codon recognition, and the 3' end, to which the tRNAs corresponding amino acid is attached (by aminoacyl-tRNA synthetases). tRNAs cope with the degeneracy of the genetic code in two manners: having more than one tRNA (with a specific anti-codon) for a particular amino acid; and 'wobble' base-pairing, i.e. permitting non-standard base-pairing at the 3rd anti-codon position. Lineage: Archaea; Nanobdellati. The record is from RNAcentral.
GCCCCCAUAGUCUAGAGGCCAAGGAUGCAGCCCUUUCAAGGCUGUGACGUGGGUUCGAAUCCCGCUGGGGGCA